ACGAACGCUGGCGGCGUGCUUAACACAUGCAAGUCGAACGGAAAGGCCCUGCUUUUGUGGGGUGCUCGAGUGGCGAACGGGUGAGUAACACGUGAGUAACCUGCCCUUGACUUUGGGAUAACUUCAGGAAACUGGGGCUAAUACCGGAUAGGAGCUCCUGCUGCAUGGUGGGGGUUGGAAAGUUUCGGCGGUUGGGGAUGGACUCGCGGCUUAUCAGCUUGUUGGUGGGGUAGUGGCUUACCAAGGCUUUGACGGGUAGCCGGCCUGAGAGGGUGACCGGCGACAUGGGGACUAAGGUACGGACCAGAAUGGAACGGGAGGCAACAGUGGGGAAUAUGGCAGAGUGGGCGGAAGCCAGAGGAGGAAACGCCGGGUGCGGGAUGACGGCCUUCGAGUUAUAAACCGCUUUCGCCUGUGACGAAGCGUGAGUGACGGUAAUGGGUAAAGAAGCACCGGCUAACUACGUG
This 467-nucleotide ribosomal RNA is filed under the name uncultured bacterium. RNAcentral describes it as "partial 16S ribosomal RNA". It matches the Rfam family "Bacterial small subunit ribosomal RNA", at positions 29 to 507 of the family's 1533-position model. The record is from RNAcentral.